Notechis scutatus (mainland tiger snake) is the source of this 929-nucleotide non-coding RNA. The record is from RefSeq and is a predicted model, not a curated record. NCBI's taxonomy places the organism in Eukaryota, Metazoa, Chordata, Lepidosauria, Squamata, Elapidae.
UAAAACAUCUUUCUUAUUUAAAGUUGUUCUUUCUCGAUUUCUAGAACAAUUCAGAACAAUUCUUCCCUUCCUUCUACAUGAUGGCUGUGCAGAUAUUUGAAGAUAACUAAGUCUUCUCCAUGAAGUAAGGCAUAUAAUAUCCAGACUAUUUCAAAAGCCAAAAUUGGAAAUGAGCUCAAAAGAUGGAAAUCAAAGAAUGCAUGUGGGGUGUCAUCACUAACCAAAAAAAGAUGAGGCUAAGAAAGUAUGAAAUUAUGCAGGACUGGAAAAUAAUAAGGUGCUGGAUUCUUCUUAAAUGAUUUCCUAUAUUUAAGAAAUAACUGCAAAUGAAAAAAAAACACAGAAGAAAACUGCAAAUGAAAAAACUGCAAAUGAAAACAACAACAACACAGAAGUUAUAGAAGUUAUAACUCUUCUCCCUGAUGAGUUAGUCCUUUAUUUGAAAAAAAGGGAAGUAGUAGUUAUGGGAAAGGUGUUAAAAUGGAAAGAAGAAAAGAAAGAAGGAAGGAAGGAAAGAAAAAGAAAGAAAGAAUGAGUCUACUCUCUAAUCAUCUUUUCUGCAGCCUGUAUCAAAUGAAAACAACACUUGUCUCUUGUGAUUGGUGCUUACCAACUAAUUCCCAGAAUUCUCAUCAAGGGCUAUGCUGGCUAUAGAAUGUGGGGAAUUGAAAUUCCAACACCUGGAAAUUGUCUUUUGGUAAAAAUGUCUUUUAUCUUGUAAUGUCUUUAUCAUUGCACUUGUUACUUAUUUCUAGAUAAAUGAGUACUUUGUCAUUUCAUUCUGUUUCCUUAACUUAUUUUCAUGCUACCUGUUCAUUCUCCAUAUUUGUCAGUCCUUUUAUCUCACAAAACACAGCCAUAUUCCAGAAGAGGUAGCACUUGCUAAGAAUCUCCAUGAAGAAAAAAGAUGGCUUGUAUAUGUAAAAGAC